UGGUGCUCAAACCACACUAAA
RNAcentral lists this ribosomal RNA (21 nucleotides) under Pistacia x saportae. The record is from RNAcentral. Lineage: Eukaryota; Viridiplantae; Streptophyta; Magnoliopsida; Sapindales; Anacardiaceae.